Molecule: ribosomal RNA, 1023 nt
Filed under: Enterococcus faecium
Lineage: Bacteria; Bacillati; Bacillota; Bacilli; Lactobacillales; Enterococcaceae
Description: bacterial SSU rRNA
Rfam family: Bacterial small subunit ribosomal RNA
Source: RNAcentral
GCAGUGCGGCUGCUAUACAUGCAGUCGAACGCUUCUUUUUCCACCGGAGCUUGCUCCACCGGAAAAAGAGGAGUGGCGAACGGGUGAGUAACACGUGGGUAACCUGCCCAUCAGAAGGGGAUAACACUUGGAAACAGGUGCUAAUACCGUAUAACAAUCAAAACCGCAGGGUUUUGAUUUGAAAGGCGCUUUCGGGUGUCGCUGAUGGAUGGACCCGCGGUGCAUUAGCUAGUUGGUGAGGUAACGGCUCACCAAGGCCACGAUGCAUAGCCGACCUGAGAGGGUGAUCGGCCACAUUGGGACUGAGACACGGCCCAAACUCCUACGGGAGGCAGCAGUAGGGAAUCUUCGGCAAUGGACGAAAGUCUGACCGAGCAACGCCGCGUGAGUGAAGAAGGUUUUCGGAUCGUAAAACUCUGUUGUUAGAGAAGAACAAGGAUGAGAGUAACUGUUCAUCCCUUGACGGUAUCUAACCAGAAAGCCACGGCUAACUACGUGCCAGCAGCCGCGGUAAUACGUAGGUGGCAAGCGUUGUCCGGAUUUAUUGGGCGUAAAGCGAGCGCAGGCGGUUUCUUAAGUCUGAUGUGAAAGCCCCCGGCUCAACCGGGGAGGGUCAUUGGAAACUGGGAGACUUGAGUGCAGAAGAGGAGAGUGGAAUUCCAUGUGUAGCGGUGAAAUGCGUAGAUAUAUGGAGGAACACCAGUGGCGAAGGCGGCUCUCUGGUCUGUAACUGACGCUGAGGCUCGAAAGCGUGGGGAGCAAACAGGAUUAGAUACCCUGGUAGUCCACGCCGUAAACGAUGAGUGCUAAGUGUUGGAAGGGUUUCCGCCCUUCAGUGCUGCAGCUAACGCAUUAAGCACUCCGCCUGGGGGAGUACGACCGCAAGGUUGAAACUCAAAGGAAUUGACGGGGGCCCGCACAAGCGGUGGAGCAUGUGGUUUAAUUCGAAGCAACGCGAAGAACCUUACCAGGUCUUGACAUCCUUUGACCACUCUAGAGAUAGAGCUUCCCCUUCGGGGGCAA